UCGUAAGAUUAAUAUAGUGAUUAGUGCAAAAAAAGUUGCUUCACGGUUAAACCUGUAAUUCUGAUGCUCUGUUACAGAUAAACAACCACGGACCGACGAUAUCACUGUACACGAUUUUGAACCCCUGAAGGUGAUAGGAGAAGGAGACUUUAUGGAAGGUGGAGAUUUAUGUAAGCUUCUGUUCCACAAACGUAAAUUUCGAGAGGGCGAUGUUAAAUUCUAUACAGCCGAAAUCGUCCUCGGUAUCGAACACCUGCACAAGAUGGGCGUCAUCUACCGCGAUCUAAAACUCGAGAACAUCCUCAUAGACUCCAGUGGCCACUUGAGGAUCACUGAUUACGGCCUCUGUAAGAAGUUCCACCCUCGUCAGAAGAAUAAACGUGAAUAUACCUUCUGUGGCACUCCCCAUUACAUAGCUCCUGAGGUGAUCAAACAGGAAGAACAUACCAAGGCGGUUGAUUGGUGGAGUCUAGGCAUCAUGGUGUAUGAGAUGCUAAAAGGAGCCACGCCAUUUGAAGAAGAGGAUGAUGAGAGUGACAACUACAUGAGGCUUUACGACCGAAUUCUGACGCAAGAUCCGGUGAUCCCGACGAAGUUUUCCGCUAAGGCGAAAGAUUUCGUCGUAGGAUUGUUAAGUAAAGAUCCAACGAAGCGUCUUGGUGCAGGCAAGAACGGAGUGGAUGACAUUAAGAGGCACCCGUUCUUCAACAAAAUCAACUGGGCUGAUAUGGCUCGAAAAGCCAAGAAAGCUCCGUUUGAGCCGGUUUACGAUGACGAAAUGAUCCUCGGCGCCAAGGAUAAUCACCUCCCGCCAUCCCCUGCUCGAUCCCAGGAUCGUGUCACUUCAUGCUCAGAUACACAAACGACGGAGAUUCCUGCAGCGCAAACAACACCUGCGGCUGUCGGGAAGACUCCGUCACAGAAGAGGAAACUGAGCAGGUCAGAAGAUGGCGGGAGGCCAAGUAAGAGACCACGACCACCAACGCCGGUGGUCGACCUGACAAAUGACAGCGCGACCAGGCGCGACCAGGCCACGGAAUAACGAUGCAGGUAUAAAGACUGCGCCACGAAAGAGGACGUUGAGCAGCUCAGGAGACAGCGAAAGGCGAACUAAGAGACCACGACUACCAACGCCGGUGGUCGACCUCCCAAAUGACAGCGCGACCAGUCCACGGAAACAACUAUGCAGGUUCUGUCUGAGUGGUCCAGAAAGAUGAAAGAGCUCUCUCAGAACACGAGAGUCGUCUCGAACAGAACGAGAUUCACGAUUCAAAAUGUAACAGACCUCCA
This is a non-coding RNA of Zootermopsis nevadensis, 1290 nucleotides long. NCBI's taxonomy places the organism in Eukaryota, Metazoa, Arthropoda, Insecta, Blattodea, Termopsidae. The record is from RefSeq and is a predicted model, not a curated record.